CUCUGAUAUAUGUAGUAUUUCUGUUGACUAGGCUGUUGCGGUAUAUCGAUAAUUAUCGUUUUUUUAUAAAUAUCGAUAUAUCGGAAUAUCGAUAUUUUUCGGUAUUAUCGAUAUCAUGUUUACGUUUGUAUACUUAAACGUCAUAUCAAGCUUUUUCAAGCGCUGAUUCGAGUUAUUUCAGAAGGUCAAAGUCGAUCAAUGUGCUAACUCCGCGGGGAAAUCCGUAAAUUAAGGUUAGAGCGCGAUCCAAAACGUAUUUGUUUUUACGUUGGCGUUACAAGGUGUAAUAUGUCAUUUCGCUUGUCAAAAAGUGAACUUUUAGGACGUAAAAACAACGGUGGAUUAUGAAUGUUUUAGAAAAACAAAACUGACUAACCUGAUUGGACAUUGUUUAUCUGGUGAGAUAGGACAAUCUUUGUUUCGAUCUCGCAGUUGAAUGAAAUGUUUUGAAAAAAUUUCCCGGUCAAAAAUAUCAAGUAAGUAAUAUGCAUUUUCAAUUCUUAAAGCGGACAUUUCACAGGCUACUGAUCACAGGCUACUACUGAUCACUGGUCUCACACUUUAGUGAAAAUAUCACGCACCUGAUGAGUCAAAGCUG
This is a non-coding RNA of Paramuricea clavata, 598 nucleotides long. The record is from the annotation of a GenBank genome assembly. NCBI's taxonomy places the organism in Eukaryota, Metazoa, Cnidaria, Anthozoa, Malacalcyonacea, Plexauridae.